AUUGAACGCUGGCGGAGUGCCUAACACAUGCAAGUCGAGCGGCAGCGGACCUUCGGGUGCCGGCGAGCGGCGGACGGCUGAGUAACGCGUGGGAACAUGCCCCAAAGUGAGGAAUAACUGCCCGAAAGGGUAGCUAAUGCCGCAUAUGGUCUUCGGAUUAAAGGAUUUAUCCGCUUUGGGAGUGGCCUGCGUACGAUUAGAUAGUUGGUGAGGUAAUGGCUCACCAAGUCGACGAUCGUUAACUGGUUUGAGAGGAUGAUCAGUCAGACUGGAACUGAGACACGGUCCAGACUCCUACGGGAGGCAGCAGUGAGGAAUCUUCCACAAUGGGCGAAAGCCUGAUGGAGCAACUCCGCGUGCAGGACGAAGGCCUUCGGGUCGUAAACUGCUUUUAUGAGUGAAGAAUAUGACGGUAACUCAUGAAUAAGGUCGGCUAACUACGUGCCAGCCGCCGCAGUAA
This 460-nucleotide ribosomal RNA is filed under the name uncultured bacterium. RNAcentral describes it as "partial 16S ribosomal RNA". It matches the Rfam family "Bacterial small subunit ribosomal RNA", at positions 30 to 523 of the family's 1533-position model. The record is from RNAcentral.